RNAcentral lists this ribosomal RNA (772 nucleotides) under uncultured bacterium. Its description in RNAcentral is "bacterial SSU rRNA". It matches the Rfam family "Bacterial small subunit ribosomal RNA", at positions 718 to 1500 of the family's 1533-position model. The record is from RNAcentral.
AAGGCAUCUUCUGGACACUACUGACGCUGAGGCGCGAAAGCGUGGGAGCAAACGGGAUUAGAUACCCCGGUAGUCCACGCAGUAAACGAUGAAUGUUAGUCGUCGGGGGCCUAGUGUCUUCGGUGAUGCAGCUAACGCAUUAAACAUUCCGCCUGGGGAGUACGGUCGCAAGAUUAAAACUCAAAGGAAUAGACGGGGACCCGCACAAGUGGUGGAGCAUGUGGUUUAAUUCGAAGAUACGCGAAGAACCUUACCUAGCCUUGACAUAUUUAAGAAUCCGGUAGAGAUACUGGAGUGCCUUCGGGAGCUUUCUUACAGGUGCUGCACGGCUGUCGUCAGCUCGUGUCGUGAGAUGUUGGGUUAAGUCCCGCAACGAGCGCAACCCUCGUCACUAGUUACUAACGGUUCGGCCGAGGACUCUAGUGAGACUGCCUUCGUAAGGAGGAGGAAGGUGAGGACGACGUCAAGUCAUCGUGGCCCUUACGGCUAGGGCAACACACGUGCUACAAUGGCCAGGACAGUGAGACGCGAUACCGUGAGGUGGAGCAAAUCUAUAAACCUGGUCUCAGUUCGGAUUGUAGUCUGCAACUCGACUACAUGAAGCUGGAAUCACUAGUAAUCGUAGAUCAGCUAUGCUACGGUGAAUACGUUCCCGGGUCUUGUACUCACCGCCCGUCACACCAUGGGAGUUGAUUUCACCCGAAGCGGGGAAGCUAAACUGGCUCCCUCCACGGUGGAAUCAGCGACUGGGGUGAAGUCGUAACAAGGUACC